RNAcentral lists this long non-coding RNA (548 nucleotides) under Homo sapiens (human). RNAcentral's name for it is "non-protein coding lnc-SLC1A7-5:2". Lineage: Eukaryota; Metazoa; Chordata; Mammalia; Primates; Hominidae. The record is from RNAcentral.
AUCCAAGUGCGCGCCCUGGCGGGUCCGGACCAAGGUAAAUGUGCAGUUCCGGGGCGGCGCAUGACGCGACUGGGACUAGGCCGGAGGCAGCGGGGGACCGGCAGGUGGGCCGCUCAGUGCGUUGAAGGAUUCGAUCCCCAGUCCCUCCCUCCCAGUUCUAGGCGCCCCAAACCGCUCCAGGCCUGAGAGGCUGUAGGUUCCAUGAGGACAGGCCUUGAGUCUGUCCUGGUCUCUGGAAUCACGGUGUCUAGUAGAGGCCAGCACACAGCAAAUAUAUAAAUGUACAAAUGAGUGAAUGAAGAGAAUCUGAUUGGCCUUAAGGAACUUACGCACUUAAAAUAAUUGGGCAGAAGAGAAGCAGUGAAGGAGUGCAGAGGCAUCACCUGAAAGGGAUCACUGAGAUUCUGAUGAACAGACCUUCUGCCCGCAAUGCCUUGGGGAAUGUCUUCGUCAGUGAGCUGCUGGAAACUCUGGCCCAGCUGCGGGAGGACCGGCAAGUGCGUGUCCUGCUCUUCAGAAGUGGAGUGAAGGGCGUGUUCUGUGCAGGU